UCAAAGAACUCCCAAACAGAUCAAUAAUACAAGAUUGACCUCUGUUUACCGUUGGCAUAUAUUGGCUUUUUUGGGUAUCUGAUUAUGUCUAGCCUAGAGACAUUUUCAAAUACGGUUGUACUUCUUGAGAUCCUACCAGCUGAAGACAGGAAGAAUCUAAUCGAACCUGCUUCCAGGCUACCUUGUCUCUGAUCAAGGGCAGUGAGAAGCCAAAUGCUGGGGUAGAAGAAGAGGAAAAUGGGGGCACUUGUUUGGAAAGACUCAUUGAGAAGCAGGAGAAUUUGAUGGAGUUAAAUGUCUCUUCCCCUUUGAAACGGAGCCAAGGCCAAUGGACUCUUCCACUCUCAUAAGCAACACGUAUUUAACAUUCAAAGAAACUCAACUCUGGGUCGACAAGGAUUCUGUUGGCUCCAGUCUUGGGGCCGGACAUCUGUCGCAGAGGGUGAGGGCAGGACGCUUGGCCCUUCUCACCGCCGGGACGUUAUUGCGGAGGGGAAGGAAAGGAAGUCGAGACAGAAUGACCGAAGGCUUGCUCUGCUCGCUUGGGGAAAUGCGGAUGAUCUGUUUGCUGUCUGUUAAUGUUUGACUUUGUCCUUCUGCCUCUGAUUCAGUGCUGUGUCUUGGUGUCCAAGCAGAGGAGCAGUCAGAGCUCUGCACUCUGUUCUGAUGGUUUUGCUUUUCCUUUCCAUAAUUUCAUCCAGGGGUUCCAGAUUUCUUUAUAGAUUUGUCCAUCCUAAUUGCAUUACAGCCUUUGGUCACAGGGCAGAAUCGAAGACCCUUGAGGGCAGAUGUUUGGUCUGUGUCGUUGUAUCCCUGAAGCCUGGCACCUAGCGGGUGCCUAAUAAGAUGCUUGUUAAUUGAUCGAUCAAUGACAUGAA
Non-coding RNA from Monodelphis domestica (gray short-tailed opossum), 878 nucleotides. Lineage: Eukaryota; Metazoa; Chordata; Mammalia; Didelphimorphia; Didelphidae. The record is from RefSeq and is a predicted model, not a curated record.